This 500-nucleotide ribosomal RNA is filed under the name uncultured Myrionecta. RNAcentral's name for it is "SSU rRNA". It matches the Rfam family "Eukaryotic small subunit ribosomal RNA", at positions 34 to 600 of the family's 1831-position model. The record is from RNAcentral. Lineage: Eukaryota; Ciliophora; Litostomatea; Cyclotrichida; Mesodiniidae.
AUAUCCAGAUAGCCAUGCACGUCUAAGUACAAACUAAAUGAUGGUGAAACUGCAAAUAGGCUCAUUACAACGGUUAUGAUGUACCCGGGAGUUCCGAUGGAUAUUUCCAGUAACACUAGAACUAAUACAUGUCCCUGCGUUUAUUAGUUUCGCACAGUCCGUCGCUGAGUCAUGGUAAACAGUUGAUCGACUCGACGUCCCGGAACAGUUUCCGCCCCAUCAGCUUCGAUGGUUGGGUAUUGGCCUACCAUUGCAACAACGGGUAACGAGGAAUUAGGGUUUGAUUUCGGAGAGGGAGCCUGAGAAACGGCUACCACAUCUACGGAUGGCAGCAGGCGCGCAAAUUACCCAAUGCAGACACUGUGAGGUAGUGACGAGAAAUAAUAAAGCGGGACUUCUGUUUCGCUAUUAUAAUGAGGAAUAACCAAAGGUCAUUCCGAUUAGCAACUGAUGGGAAAGUCUGGUGCCAGCAGCCGCGGUAAUACCAGCGUCAGUAGCAU